Molecule: non-coding RNA, 478 nt
Organism: Scatophagus argus
Lineage: Eukaryota; Metazoa; Chordata; Actinopteri; Scatophagidae
Source: the annotation of a RefSeq genome assembly
AACAUAAACCAUGUUUUCUGUAGCUCUGCUGCUGCUGUUGGCAGCUGGAUGUGUGAAGUGUGAACAGUUGACACAGCCAGCCUCUGUGACUGUGCAGGCAGGUCAACGUCUGACCAUCACCUGUCAGGUCUCUUAUUCUCUGAGCAGCUCCCGCACACACUGGAUCAGACAGCCUGCAGGGAAAGGAUUGGAGUGGAUUGGAAGUGUACGUGUUGGAUACAACACAUACUACAAAGAUUCACUGAAGAACAAGUUCAGCAUUGAUUUAGACUCUUCCAGCAAAACAGUGACUCUAACUGGACAGAAUGUGCAGCCUGAAGACUCUGCUGUGUAUUUCUGUGCCAGAGAGUCACAGUAACACAAACCAUCAGUGGAGCUGAACAAAAACCCCUCAGUGCCUGAACACUUGGAACAUGAAGCCACCAGAGGAGGAGCCCUCAGACCACUAAUAAUUUCAACACCAGUUCACUGUUAAAGA